RNAcentral lists this ribosomal RNA (497 nucleotides) under uncultured bacterium. RNAcentral describes it as "partial 16S ribosomal RNA". It matches the Rfam family "Bacterial small subunit ribosomal RNA", at positions 28 to 507 of the family's 1533-position model. The record is from RNAcentral.
GAUGAACGCUGGCGGCAUGCUUAAUACAUGCAAGUCGAGCGAGCAGAUGUGGAUCUUGUUCCUCACACGUUAGCGACGCAUAGGAACCUGCCCUGUGGAUAACCACACCAACUGGCUGGGGUUGCUUAGACACCGCGGACCUAGUACCAGAAGAUAUAAUCCACCCCAGGGGUCGCUCGCGUCAGACUAGUUUGCUGUCAAUUUAAGAUCGUACCGAGCCGCCUGACCUAGUUGGUACGGUGACGACUUACCAAGACAAUGAUGCGUAGCCUACCUGAGAGGGUGAUCGGCCGCACGGGAACUGAGACGCGGUCCAGACUCCUACGGGAGGCAGCAGUAGGGAAUCUUCCGCAAUGGGCGAAAGCAUGACUGAGCAACGCCGCGUAAGUGAUGAAGGGCUUCGGAUCGUAAAACUCUGAUAUUAGGGAAGAACAAAUGUGUUAGUAACUAUGCACAUCUUGACGGUACCUAAUCAGAAAGCCACGGCUAACUACGUG